Molecule: ribosomal RNA, 400 nt
Filed under: uncultured bacterium
Lineage: Bacteria
Description: bacterial SSU rRNA
Rfam family: Bacterial small subunit ribosomal RNA
Source: RNAcentral
UAGGGAAUAUUGCGCAAUGGGGGAAACCCUGACGCAGCAACGCCGCGUGAGUGAAGAAGGUCUUUGGAUCGUAAAGCUCUUUCGGCCGGGAAGAAGGGCUCUGCAGUGAACAAUUGCAGGGUUUGACGGUACCGGAAGAAGAAGCACCUGCUAACUACGUGCCAGCAGCAGCGGUAAUACGUAGGGUGCGAGCGUUGUUCGGAAUCACUGGGCGUAAAGAGCACGUAGGCGGGCCUGUAGGUCAGCUGUGAAAUCCCCGGGCUCAACCUGGGAACGGCAGUUGAAACGGCAGGUCUUGAAUGUCCAAGAGGAUGGGGGAAUUCCUGGUGUAGUAGUGAAAUACGUAGAUAUCAGGAGGAACACCUGAGGCGAAGGCGCCUGUCUGGUGGCACAUUGACGC